AAAUUGAAGGGUUUGAUCAUGGCUCAGAUUGAACGCUGGCGGCAGGCCUAACACAUGCAAGUCGAACGGUAACAGGAAGAAGCUUGCUUCUU
Molecule: ribosomal RNA, 92 nt
Filed under: Escherichia coli
Lineage: Bacteria; Pseudomonadati; Pseudomonadota; Gammaproteobacteria; Enterobacterales; Enterobacteriaceae
Description: partial 16S ribosomal RNA
Rfam family: Bacterial small subunit ribosomal RNA
Source: RNAcentral